UCAUAUGCUUGUCUCAAAGAUUAAGCCAUGCAUGUCUAAGUACACACCUUUAUACGGUGAGACUGCGAAAGGCUCAUUAAAUCAGCUAUUGUUUCUUAGAUCAUUGAACAUUACAUGGAUAACUGUGGUAAUUCUAGAGCUAAUACAUGAAACAAAGCCUUGACUCACGGUUAAGGCGCAUUUAUUAGAUUAAAACCAACCGAGCUUGCUCGUACGUUUGGUGACUCUGGAUAACUUUGUGCAGAUCGCAGGACCUUGCGUCGGCGACGUAUCUUUCAAAUGUCUGACCUAUCAACUGUCGAUGGUAGGUGAUAUGCCUACCAUGGUGAUAACGGGUAACGGGGAAUCAGGGUUCGAUUCCGGAGAGGGAGCCUGAGAAACGGCUACCACAUCUAAGGAAGGCAGCAGGCGCGCAAAUUACCCAAUCCGACACGGGGAGGUAGUGACGAAAAAUAACGAUGCGGGACUUUUAUGAGGCCCCGUAAUUGGAAUGAGUACACUUUAAAUCCUUAAGCAAGGAUCAAUUGGAGGGCAAGUCUGGUGCCAGCAGCCGCGGUAAUUCCAGCUUCAAUAGCGUAUAUUAAAGUUGUUGCAGUUAAAAAGCUCGUAGUUGGAUCUCAGGAGUCGAGUGAACGGUUCGCUUAUCCGAGUGUUACCAUUCUCUCUUCCUAUCUAGUCGGAGUCCGUUUUGGUGCUCUUUAUUGAGCGCCUUGAUAGCCCGACAUGUUUACUUUGAACAAAUUAGAGUGCUUAAAGCAAGCCUUGUGCUUGUAUAGUCGUGCAUGGAAUAAUAGAAUAGGACUUUAGUUCUAUUUUGUUGGUUUACGGAAUCUAAAGUAAUGAUUAAAAGGGACAGGCGGGGGCAUUCGUAUUGUGGCGGGAGAGGUGAAAUUCGGAGAUCGCCGCAAGACGACCUACUGCGAAAGCAUUUGCCAAGUAUGUUUUCGUUAAUCAAGAACGAAAGUCAGAGGUUCGAAGACGAUUAGAUACCGUCCUAGUUCUGACCAUAAACGAUNNCVVNNGGUCAUCCGAGGCCGAUUGCUUGUUCGAUCUCUCGGGCGACUCCGGGAAACCAAAGUCUAUGGGUUCCGGGGGAAGUAUGGUUGCAAAGCCGAAACUUAAAGGAAUUGACGGAAGGGCASCACCAGGAGUGGMSUGCGGCUUAAUUUGACUCAACACGGGAAAUCUCACCCGGUCCGGACACUGUGAGGAUUGACAGAUUGAUAGCUCUUUCUUGAUUCAGUGGGUGGUGGUGCAUGGCCGUUCUUAGUUGGUGGAGCGAUUUGUCUGGUUAAUUCCGAUAACGAACGAGACUCUAGCCUGCUAAAUAGUACACUGGUCAAACAUGCCGGUGCAUACUUCUUAGAGUACAAUGACAAGAUCAACUAGUAUUUCCUGACUCGAAAGGGUCGGGUAACCUGGUAAAUUCUUAUCAUGACAGGGAUUGGGCUUUGCAAUUAUCGCCCAUGAACGAGGAAUUCCCAGUAAGCACAAGUCAUAAGCUUGUGCUGAUUACGUCCCUGCCCUUUGUACACACCGCCCGUCGCUACUACUGAUUGAAUGGUUUAGUGAGGUCCUCGGAUUGGCUUCCGGUUAGUGGAAACGCNGAUCGGAUUAUCGAGAAGAAGAUCAAACUUGAUCAUUUAGAAGAAGUAAAAGUCGUAACAAGGUUUCCGUAGUGAACC
RNAcentral lists this ribosomal RNA (1685 nucleotides) under Geocentrophora baltica. Its description in RNAcentral is "SSU rRNA". It matches the Rfam family "Eukaryotic small subunit ribosomal RNA". Lineage: Eukaryota; Metazoa; Platyhelminthes; Prorhynchida; Prorhynchidae. The record is from RNAcentral.